RNAcentral lists this long non-coding RNA (1543 nucleotides) under Theobroma cacao (cacao). Its description in RNAcentral is "long non-coding RNA (TCAC_LNC003128)". The record is from RNAcentral. Lineage: Eukaryota; Viridiplantae; Streptophyta; Magnoliopsida; Malvales; Malvaceae.
GGAGGAGAGCCUUCCGGAAAAGGCAAAGAAGUUGUACCCGACGAGUAGUGAUCGGGGCGCUUAGAAAGCUUUUAGUUUGUACAAACGGUGAGUAAACUUAUUAUUAUUGUAAAUUAUCUAGAGUUUUAUUUUUAAAUGCUCUUUAUGUAUUUUAUGAAAUGAAAAUGAGAUUAAAACGGGAUUUUUGAUGUUUUACAAAUAAAUGUGACAAAUAAAGAUAUAUUGUCUUGAUUAUGAAAUCGAGUAAUUGGAGGCUACCAAUUAUUUUGAAAUAUAUAUUUUCCUAUGAAUGGCUUAUGAAAUAUGAGUAUAUGUGGCUAUAUUUGAUAAAUUGCAUUGGGAAUUUAUGUAAGCUGUUUUUACUAUGCAGACUAGGUAAAUAAAUAAAAGUCACGCUAUACUGUCAAAAUUUUAUUAAAAUUGGUGGGUUUAGUCACUGCAGUGACGGGUUUUCGUGGACUACCUAUUAGAGGGGCACGGUAAACUCGGUUAUAUAGUUACUCCAGUAGUAGAGGUGAGGAGGGUAACUCUCGGGGUAGUAUUAGAGCUCACUUCACGUCGAACCCCCAUGUGAAUGUGUAACUCAGCCAACGCCAAGGAACGGCUUGUUUUAAAAAUAAAAAUGUGUUUCGCAUGUAAUGUUAUAACAACCUUGGCGGACUUGGUUAGAUGCCUCGGCCAAGGUAUCCCCGAGGAUUAGUUUUGGCUUGAGCCUUGUUUUAAUAAAAGACAUAAGCCUUAACAACUGUUUUGGUAAAUUACAAAUAUUUUAUGGUUUAAGAAAUAAAUUGAAAACAUUAUGAAAUGGGUUGAAAUUUGUUGUUUAAACUUGCCUCCAUUUUACUCGCCUUUAGAUAUUUAUGAUAAUGUCUGUUUACUCAUUGGGAUUGCAAAAUCUCACCCAACUCCUUUCCACCCAUUUCAGGUUCAGUAUAGACUGUAGAUAGCUGAUCUCAUCGAGGACUACCAUUGGAUCUGCAUUUUCCAAACCGUAGGUUCACAGUCCUCUUUACUUUUGUUUAUUCGGGGGCCCUCUUGUUAUUGUAAAUUAAAUUAAAUAUUUUGGCUUACUGUAUUUCAGUAUGUAUAAAUUUAUUUAGCUUUUACGCUAUAAAAAUUAUUCACGUAUAACUCUAUAAAUAUUGUUUUAUAAGAAAAUAGAAUAUUUUCCUUAAUAUUUCUUUUAUUUUCUUAUUAUAUUCAAAUAACCGUAAUUUCAUUUUAAAUGAAGAUUUUAGACUUUUAAACUCAUUUUGAAUAUGAAUUAUGUGUUUUGUACUUGUAUAUUUCGUUUUACCCAGUUUCAAAAUUUUUGAGAAAAAAAUGACCAAAAUACCCCUGUGCGGCGAAAAUUUUAUUUUGAUUGUUCUUUUAUCUAAAAUAGUGUAUAUUCUCUAAAAACUCGAUAUUUAACAAUGAUUGCUCAUAGGAAAGGAAAGAAACUGAUAUGUAAGCCUUGCGGGGUUUCGGUUGGCAUUCCGGAUAAUGAGUGUCAAUCGGGACGUCGCGGCUAUUGUCAUGGGCCUGAGGGAGGUUCCGGGUC